GUUUAGGAUCUCUGGCUCCUUCCCAGAUUGUGAAUCUAUUCGAAGAAAUAAUAUAGGCUAGUGGGAUAUGACUUCCCUGUUCACUCUCGGCAGAAACUUGUAAGUGGCCCAAUCCUGCUUGCGAAUGGCUUGCAGAACUAGGUUCGUCAUGGGAUUAUUUCAGUGAGGUUUUCAGAGCAAAGAAAAUAGUGUUCAGGGGGUAAUAGCUGAGGUCUGUAUGUGAUGUAACCCUUUUAGAAAAGGUCAGGCCAGUUAAAGAGGGGAAUCUAGAGGGAAUCUACAUUGGUGUAAGUUAGACUUUCUCCUACCCCUCCCCUCUGGCUGAGCACACUGAUUGUCUGCACAGAGAAUUUUAGCUACUGGAGUAUUUGUGUUAUAAACACCAUUUUCAGCUGUUGUCCACACUGAUUUAUAGAACAGGAUUUACAAAAUAUCUUAUCUUUUCAGGCUUGGCACCUGCGUAAGGCAGAAGUGGAGUAAAAUACCAUUCCACCCCUGGUGGUGGUUGAAACUACCUUUGCCCUGAAGCACAUGAGGAGCCUUCAUGUGGUGGCUGAGCUGAAGGGGUGGCUGAAAACUGCCUAAAUGCAGCACCCAAAAACACUGCAGGUGUUCUGCUAGGCCAUGUCUGCUUGUUGUUCCACAUCUUGAAACCUGUUUCUGUACAUACUUGGAACCAUCAGCACACCUGACUGGGUAUUCCCCUGCAGCUGUCCAUAGAAGAGAAAGACAUUAAAAAGCUGUGAGUCAUUACUGCUCUGAAACGUCUUGAGGUCAUGGACGAGGCAGAAGGUGACACCGCACAUCCCAGGGAGCUGAGCUGCUUGCCCACAGACAAAGUAGGAUCUUUACUUUGAAUUGCUUUGAUGUGAGACAGAGGUGUUCUGUACCGACGUGUUUUUCUGGUCCGGGAAUCAGUGGCAAAGUUUGAGCUCAGUUAGCACUAGGUCAGUCCUACAUUUUUAACUAGUAUUUAACUGCAGUAAGGUGUUACAGGGACUGGUCCAGCAUUAUAAAUUGUACUGGAGGCUUCUGCCUA
RNAcentral lists this long non-coding RNA (1039 nucleotides) under Anser cygnoides (Swan goose). RNAcentral's name for it is "lncRNA (ENSACDG00005003919.1)". The record is from RNAcentral. Lineage: Eukaryota; Metazoa; Chordata; Aves; Anseriformes; Anatidae.